Long non-coding RNA from Saccostrea cuccullata (small rock oyster), 1673 nucleotides. RefSeq lists it as uncharacterized. The transcript has 3 exons. Lineage: Eukaryota; Metazoa; Mollusca; Bivalvia; Ostreida; Ostreidae. The record is from RefSeq and is a predicted model, not a curated record.
GUGCCCAUAUUACGAUUCGGUUGGAAAAUCUAUACAAAUGAGUGCCAAAUCAUGCCAAUCAGCGAAGAUUCCAUGCCCGGCAAGAUAUCCAUCAAAUACAACGUAUAUUUACACAAGCUGUUAUCCUUCAAUUUUCGUCACAGGAGGAGCAGAGAAAAGGACAGUGAGUGGAAUGCAUUUCUGGAAAACAAUCCUUCUGAUGAUACCAAUCUAUUUAUUAUAUAUUACUGGUUAUCAUGAUAUAUGAAUAUGAGGGUUGUCCCAAUAAGUCGUGGUCAAUAUAACUUUUUGACAUGCAACCAAUACUAAUAAAAUUUUGCAUAGACAUCAUUUAUUCAAUGUUCUUUUAAAUUAUGAAUUCUUAAAUAUAUAUCGUUCAUAUUAUUAAUAUUGGCGGGUUAUAUGAAGGCCGAUAUGGUCUGUCGGCGCACGAACAAAAUUCGGAAUAACUUACGCAUGUAACUAUUACAUUUGCUUUUAUUUUUUUUUGGGGGGGGUACUAUGUCAAACAUUGAGCUCAAAUUUAAAUCAGUGAAACUAGAAUCAAAAUCUCAACAUUUCAAAUUUUCAUAUAAAUAGCAUUAGAAUCGAUCGAUUAGUGUCAUGAUUUUCAAAGUGUUGUUAGAAUUGAGUUUGAUGAAAAUGACGCCACCAAACGCGUAACAGGCGCGCGGAGAUGUAAUACAUUGUUUUGGAUAUUGUUUAGAUAUAUCGGAGACGGGAAGAAAGAGUACAGAAGUGACAUUACAUACUAUAGCUUCUUAUAGAGAAGUUGUUUUAAAAUGGUAUGAGUUUUAAUGAUAGUUUUUCCUCGAUAUCGAGAAUAGUUACCGCAUGGAAGAAGAAGAGUACUGUUUGUUAAACGCAGACGGUUGGGUACCUCGUGGACCAUGAUUGACAUAAAGUAUUCUAUGUUGCCUACAGUGUAAGAUGAACUUUCGACUAAUUUUCGACUGAAAUUUGAAUAUGCUAAAAAAAAUUACGGACAGUAGUGAAUUCAAAUAAGUCCAGACAAAAGUGGAUUUUCACUUUAAAAAAAUAUUGGAUGUUAACAGACGCGUGUGAAGCAGAAGUGGACAUCAUGACGUUAUAAGAGACGUAAAUUACGCUUGCUUUCGUGCGCUGAUAUACAAUUACAUGCUUUCGUAAUUUUUUUUUCAUAAAUUUUUUAUUAAAUGUUUUAUCAUCAUGAAACUUGAAAUCAUAAAAUGUUACAUAAAAUGUUACAUUUUGCUAUGGCAAAAAAAAAAAAUUUAAUUUACCAAAGAGAAACUUAACUGUUCGCUCUGUCUAAGACUUUUUGGGACAACCCUCGUAUAUAAACUUUAAAGUGGUAUCACGGUGUGUGUUUUAAUAAAUCAAUUUUAGUGACGUUUUGAAAAGCUAACUUUGAAAUAUACUUUUAAUUUACUGUAAUUACUUUAAACAUCAGGAAACUUUAAUUAUUUAAUUACUUUGUUACUCUAAAUGUAUAAAUUUAUUAUUUGCAUAGAGGAAAAUAAAACAAACAUGAUUUAAAACACGUUUAUUUUGAUAUUGGCGAUUGUUGUUCGUGGCAUAUGUAAAAGCAGCAAGGGGUCGCCAAGCGUUAAGGGCGACCCCAAAUUACAACAAGCAGCAGCAGUAGCAAACAACAUGAAAGCAUAAUAUUACAUGUACUUAUAAUAAGCAUA